CCUACGGGAGGCAGCAGUGGGGAAUUUUCCGCAAUGGGCGAAAGCCUGACGGAGCAACGCAGCGUGAGGGAUGAAGGCCUCUGGGCUGUAAACCUCUUUUAUCAAGGAAGAAGAUCUGACGGUACUUGAUGAAUAAGCCACGGCUAAUUCCGUGCCAGCAGCCGCGGUAAUACGGGAGUGGCAAGCGUUAUCCGGAAUUAUUGGGCGUAAAGCGUCCGCAGGCGGUCUUGUAAGUCUGUCGUUAAAGCGUGGAGCUCAACUCCAUUUCGGCGGUGGAAACUACAAGACUAGAGUGUGGUAGGGGCAGAGGGAAUUCCCGGUGUAGCGGUGAAAUGCGUAGAUAUCGGGAAGAACACCAGUGGCGAAGGCGCUCUGCUGGGCCAUAACUGACGCUCAUGGACGAAAGCUAGGGGAGCGAAAGGGAUUAGAUACCCCUGUAGUCCUAGCCGUAAACGAUGAACACUAGGUGUCGGGGGAAUCGACCCCCUCGGUGUCGUAGCUAACGCGUUAAGUGUUCCGCCUGGGGAGUACGCACGCAAGUGUGGAACUUAAAUGAAUUGACGG
Molecule: ribosomal RNA, 564 nt
Filed under: uncultured bacterium
Lineage: Bacteria
Description: bacterial SSU rRNA
Rfam family: Bacterial small subunit ribosomal RNA
Source: RNAcentral